RNAcentral lists this ribosomal RNA (409 nucleotides) under Verrucomicrobiota bacterium. RNAcentral describes it as "Verrucomicrobia bacterium partial 16S ribosomal RNA". It matches the Rfam family "Bacterial small subunit ribosomal RNA", at positions 355 to 776 of the family's 1533-position model. The record is from RNAcentral. Lineage: Bacteria; Pseudomonadati; Verrucomicrobiota.
UGGGGAAUAUUGCACAAUGGGCGGAAGCCUGAUGCAGCGACGCCGCGUGAGGGAUGACGGCCUUCGGGUUGUAAACCUCUUUCAGUAGGGACGAAGCGUAAGUGACGGUACCUGCAGAAGAAGCACCGGCUAACUACUUGCCAGCAGCCGCGGUAAUACGUAGGGUGCGAGCGUUGUCCGGAAUUACUGGGCGUAAAGAGCUCGUAGGCGGUUUGUCACGUCGUCUGUGAAAUCCUAGGGCUUAACCCUGGACGUGCAGGCGAUACGGGCUGACUUGAGUACUACAGGGGAGACUGGAAUUUCUGGUGUAGCGGUGGAAUGCACAGAUAUCAGGAAGAACACCGAUGGCGAAGGCAGGUCUCUGGGUAGUAACUGACGCUGAGGAGCGAAAGCAUGGGUAGCGAACAGG